RNAcentral lists this ribosomal RNA (468 nucleotides) under uncultured bacterium. RNAcentral describes it as "partial 16S ribosomal RNA". It matches the Rfam family "Bacterial small subunit ribosomal RNA", at positions 28 to 507 of the family's 1533-position model. The record is from RNAcentral.
GACGAACGCUGGCGGCGUGCUUAACACAUGCAAGUCGAACGGAAAGGCCCUGCUUUUGUGGGGUGCUCGAGUGGCGAACGGGUGAGUAACACGGGAGUAACCUGCCCUUGACUUUGGGAUAACUUCAGGAAACUGGGGCUAAUACCGGAUAGGAGCUCCUGCUGCAUGGUGGGGGUUGGAAAGUUUCGGCGGUUGGGGAUGGACUCGCGGCUUAUCAGCUUGUUGGUGGGGUAGUGGCUUACCAAGGCUUUGACGGGUAGCCGGCCUGAGAGGGUGACCGGCCACAUUGGGACUGAGAUACGGUCCAGACUCCUACGGGAGGCAGCAGUGGGGAAUAUUGCACAAUGGGCGGAAGCCUGAUGCAGCAACGCCGCGUGCGGGAUGACGGCCUUCGGGUUGUAAACCGCUUUCGCCUGUGACGAAGCGUGAGUGACGGUAAUGGGUAAAGAAGCACCGGCUAACUACGUG